RNAcentral lists this ribosomal RNA (460 nucleotides) under uncultured bacterium. Its description in RNAcentral is "partial 16S ribosomal RNA". It matches the Rfam family "Bacterial small subunit ribosomal RNA", at positions 338 to 795 of the family's 1533-position model. The record is from RNAcentral.
CCUACGGGAGGCAGCAGUGAGGAAUAUUGGUCAAUGGCCGUAAGGCUGAACCAGCCAAGUAGCGUGAGGGAAGACUGCCCUAUGGGUUGUAAACCUCUUUUAUCCGGGGACAAAGGUGUCCACGUGUGGAUGUUUGCAGGUACCGCAUGAAUAAGGACCGGCUAAUUCCGUGCCAGCAGCCGCGGUAAUACGGAAGGUCCGGGCGUUAUCCGGAUUUAUUGGGUUUAAAGGGGGCGUAGGCCGGUCUUUAAGCUUGCCGUGAAAUUUUGGGGCGCAACCCUGAGAGUGCGGUGCAAACUGGCGACCUUGAGUGGGCGGGAGGCAGGCGGAAUGCGUGGUGUAGCGGUGAAAUGCUUAGAUAUCACGAAGAACCCCGAUUGCGAAGGCAGCCUGCCGCAGCGUUACUGACGCUGAAGCACGAAAGCGCGGGUAUCGAACAGGAUUAGAUACCCCAGUAGUC